This 253-nucleotide ribosomal RNA is filed under the name uncultured bacterium. RNAcentral's name for it is "partial 16S ribosomal RNA". It matches the Rfam family "Bacterial small subunit ribosomal RNA", at positions 524 to 776 of the family's 1533-position model. The record is from RNAcentral.
UACGUAGGGGGCAAGCGUUGUCCGGAUUUAUUGGGCGUAAAGAGCGUGUAGGCGGCUUGGCAAGUCCGCUGUGAAAACUCGAGGCUCAACCUCGAGACGUCGGUGGAAACUGCCUGGCUAGAGUCCGGAAGAGGAGAGCGGAAUUCCUGGUGUAGCGGUGAAAUGCGCAGAUAUCAGGAAGAACACCGGUGGCGAAGGCGGGUCUCUGGGCCGAUAUUGACGCUGAGGAGCGAAAGCGUGGGGAGCGAACAGG